RNAcentral lists this ribosomal RNA (492 nucleotides) under uncultured bacterium. RNAcentral's name for it is "partial 16S ribosomal RNA". It matches the Rfam family "Bacterial small subunit ribosomal RNA", at positions 29 to 507 of the family's 1533-position model. The record is from RNAcentral.
AGUGAACGCUGGCGGCAGGCUUAACACAUGCAAGUCGAACGGCAGCACAGUAAGAGCUUGCUCUUACGGGAGGCGAGUGGCGGACGGGAGAGGAAUACAACGGAAUCUACACUUUCGUGGGGGAUAACGUAGGCAAACUUACUCUAAUACUGAACAUGACCUACGGGUGAAAGCAUGGUAUCUUUGGAUCUUGUGCGAUUGAAUAAGUCGCUGUCGGAUUAGCUAGUUGGCGGGGUAACGGCCCACCAAGUCGACGAUGCGUAGCUGGUCUGAGAGGAUGAUCAGCCACACUGGAACUGAGACACGGUCCAGACUCCUACGGGAGGCAGCAGUAGGGAAUAUUGGGCAAUGGGCGAAAGCCUGACGCAGCAAUACCGCGUGAGUGAUGAAGGUCUUCGGGUCGUAAAGCACUUUUGUUGGGAAAGAAAAGCUGUGGGAGAAUCCAUCGAUGUUCUGACGGUACCGAAUCAAAAAGCCCCGGCUAACUACGUG